RNAcentral lists this ribosomal RNA (383 nucleotides) under uncultured Nostoc sp. Its description in RNAcentral is "bacterial SSU rRNA". It matches the Rfam family "Bacterial small subunit ribosomal RNA", at positions 359 to 760 of the family's 1533-position model. Lineage: Bacteria; Bacillati; Cyanobacteriota; Cyanophyceae; Nostocales; Nostocaceae. The record is from RNAcentral.
AAAUACAUCGCUUGGAUUGUUGCUCUCCGGCGUGCGUUGUCGAGGAAGGCGUCGUAUAGGGUUGUAAACCUCUCUCUUCUCAGGGAAGAACACAAUGACGGUACCUGAGGAAUCAGCAUCGGCUAACUCCGUGCCAGCAGCCGCGGUAAUACGGAGGAUGCAAGCGUUAUCCGGUGAUUGGGCGUAAAGCGUCCGCAGGUGGCUGUGUAAGUCUGCUGUCAAAGAGCAAAGCUCAACUUUGUAAAGGCAGUGGAUACUACACAAAUAGAGUGCGUUCGGGGCAGAGGGAAUUCCUGGUGUAGCCCAGAAAUGCGUAGAAUCAGGAAGACCUACGGUGGCGAAGGCGCUCUGCUAGGCCGCAACUGACACUGAGGGACGAAAGC